RNAcentral lists this long non-coding RNA (962 nucleotides) under Mytilus galloprovincialis (Mediterranean mussel). Lineage: Eukaryota; Metazoa; Mollusca; Bivalvia; Mytilida; Mytilidae. The record is from RNAcentral.
GGACAACCCGUUGAUGGGUUGCUGCCCCUGAAUUGGUAAUUUUAUGGAAAUUUUGCUGUUUUUUGUUAUUAUCUUGAAUAUUAUUAUAGAUAGAGAUAAACUGUAAACAGCAAUAAUGUUCAGCAAAGUUAGAUUUACAAAUAAGUCAACAUGACCGAAAUGGUCAGUUGACCCCUUAAGGAGUUAUUGCCCUUUAUAGUCAAUUUUUAACCAUUUUUUCGUAAAUCUUAGUGAUCUUUUACAAAAAUCUUCUCCUCUGAACUACUGGGCUAAAUUAAUCCAAACUUGGCCACAAUCAUCUUUGGGGUAUGUAGUUUAAAAAAUGUGUCCGGUGACCCGGCCAUCCAACCAAGAUGGCUGCCAUGGCUAAAUAUAGGACAUAGGGGUAAAAUGCAGUUUUUGGCUUAUAACUCAAAAAUCAAAGCAUUUAGAGCAAAUCUGACGGAGUGAAAUUGUUUAUCAUGUCAAGAUCUAUCUGCCCUGAAAUUUUCAGAUGGAUCCAACAACCGGUUGUUGGGUUGCUGCCCCAUAAUUGGUAAUUUUAAGAAAAUUUUGACGUUUUUUGUUAUUAUCUUGAAUAUUAUUAUAGAUAGAGAUAAACUGUAAACAGCAAUAAUGUACAGCAAAGUAAGACCUAAAGAUAAGUCAAACAUGACAAAAAUGGUCAGUUUGACCCCUAAGGAGUUAUUGUCCUUUAUAGUCAAUUUUUAACAAUUUUCAUAAAAUUUGUAAAUUUUUACUAACAUUUUCCACUGAAACUACUGGGCCAAGAUCAUUAUAGAUAGAGAUAAUUGUAAGGAGCAAGAAUGUUCAGUAAAGUAAGAUGUACAAACACAUCACCAUCACCUAAACACAAUUUUGUCAUGAAUCCAUCUGCUUCCUUUGUUUAAUAUUCACAUAUACCAAGGUGAGCGACACAGGCUCUUUAGAGCCUCUAGUUUGUAUUUAAAGUAAAAAAAAUU